Molecule: long non-coding RNA, 951 nt
Filed under: Anas zonorhyncha (Eastern spot-billed duck)
Lineage: Eukaryota; Metazoa; Chordata; Aves; Anseriformes; Anatidae
Description: lncRNA (ENSAZOG00000008259.1)
Source: RNAcentral
AUGUCAGCCAGUGUAUGUGAACCAAGCUGCUGCUGGACACUGGUCCUGCUGGACACCAGGCAGAGUGCAGCAUGGCCCCCUCUCACCCACCUCCGAGAUCACCUAUAUCUGCCUUCAGGGUCACUCUGGGACACUCUGAAGUCUUACGGCCUCGGAGACUGUUUCCUCGUACAGAGGUUGAGGCUCAGUUCCUGUGUGACCCAGCACGCAACAAGAAAGGAUUUGGAACAACCUAUGCAGUGGACAUGCUUCAGUGAAAAAGACCAGAAAUUUCUUCUAGAAUUUUAAUACAGUCGUAACAGUUAUAGGAAAGACACCUGCAGACAAAACAGUAUAUUUGUGGAGGAUUUAGUGGAAAAUGACUUGUUUUUUCUAGACUGGAAGCAUGUCAGUACUGUCUCUGUUGCUGAUGCAUUGUUUGAAGAGAGACAGUUCAACAAGCCAGUCCUUGUAAGCACUGACAGACCUUGUUGUAGGUAACUAUGGAGUUUCAGGGUGCUAUUUGUUGGUCAGUCACUCUUGUAAUCUGCCAGUUAUACUUAAUCAAAAUGUAGCUGAAGAGGCAAAAGUGGAAAACCUCUCAUUUUUAAUAUGUCUCGUAUAAUAAUUUCAAGGAGCCAGAGGAUAAGCAUUCAAUCUAAAGAUAGCACAUUCAUUAUUACUUAUUAGAUGUAAAAGCUUGUGCUAUAUGUUUAACAACUGUCUUUGUAUGUGGAGUUAUGGAAACCAAAUUGUAAAUGUUCACAUUGAGUUACUGUAAGAGUCUGCUGCUCGGAUUGUUCCAUUUCUGGAAUGAAAGACCAGGAACUUUUUCUUGGUUGGAGUAGAGUCAAAAUGCUUUUACUAAAUGCAUGUAACAAUUCUUAUCCUCAUCUCUACAGGAUUAUUUAUACUUUUUUUGGGUGCAAGCUUUUUUUGGUUUCGAUCUUUUUGCAUUAAGCACAUCUGCAC